AAUCAGAGGAAGAACAGCCUGCUCUGAGGUUGAACUUUGCAAAGCUGGGAAUGUUCCUUCUUUGAAGGAGAUCUUAGUUUAGGCAUUCAUUUUUAUUUUAUUUUUUAUAGAGUUAAUGAACCAGUCUUACAGUCUUCCUUUAGCCAAUGAGUUAAAGAAAUCUUUGCAUAAGUUUAUUCAAAUCAGAGGUUCCACCAAGAUAUCCCUGUAAAUGCACCUUCCAGAGCCAAUCUGUGUGUAGGCAUGGAAGCAAACAUCCUCUCUUGGCUUCUGCAGCAAAUUCCAAGUGGCAAUGGAACUUUACCUUCGCUGACUCUUUUGUUUCUUUUUUCCCGUGGAUUCUGUGCUUUUGUUUUUGUUUCUGGUUUUGGUUUUUAUAUAACUCAGAAGUUAUUUCCUAAUGUGCCAGAAAUGUUUGUGAAUUUGGUUUUAUAGCCUAUUUGAUCAUCCUUUUUAGGUGGAGACCUAUUCUGUUGGGUUAGAGAUGACAGAAAAUCUUAUUUGUCGGUUGGUUUGUUUGUUCAAGAAUACACUGACCUUCUACAAGAAAGGAGAGCUCUUUGACACCUGGAAAUAAGCUUGGGACAGCUCUGAAUGGCAACACGGUCCUGAGAUAUGUGAUUACCUGGGACUUUCAUUGGACCUGCAUUUCAGCUCUACUCUCCUCACUGCCCUAUGCUGCUUUGACCCUAAAAGUGAAGCCAGCUUGGCCAGGUGCAGUGACUCACACCUGUAAUCCCAGCACUUUGGGAGGCCGAGGUGGGCAAAUCAAGAAGUCAGGAAAUCGAGACCACCCUGGCCAACAUUGUGAAACACCAUCUCUACUAAAACACAAAAAAAUUAGCCAGGUGUGGUGGCACGCACCUGUAGUCCCAGCUACUCGGGAGGCUGAGGCAGGGGAAUCACUUGAACCCGUGAGGAGGAAAUUGCAGCGAGCCAAGAUCGCGCCACUGCACCCCAGCCUGGGCGACAGAGAGAGACUCCAUCUCAAAAACAAAACAAAACAAAACAAAAAAAACAAAAAGUGAAGCCAACUCAAUUGUCUCAUAGAACUGAUCUUUACGGUGUUUUUAAAUAAACAUAGAAAUUGGCCCUCCCAGUCUUAAAACUUCAAAAACUUACAUUUGUCUUACCUCAGUUCCUUUCUCAGGAAUCCAAUCAUCAAGGCUCCCAGAUAGUAUCAAUGAACGGAAACUUACCAGAUCACGAUAUCUGGACAAUGAGAUGUCAGAUCCCCCUCAUCCAUCCUGAUUACCUAACUGACUACCUGCUUCCUGUUGGCCAACUACUCUUCCUUACCCCUCCCUAAUUCUUGUUUUCCCACAAAUGGUUACAUUUCUGUCCUGCUAUAGAAGCCCUUAAUUUUAAUUGGUCGAGGAGAUGGAUUUGAGACUGAUUUUUUGCUCUCCUUGGCUGUUGCACCUGAAUAGCCUUUUUCCCUGGCAAUACUUUUUGUCUCAGUGAUUGGCUUUCUGUGCAGUGAGCAAUGGGACCAAACUUCUGGUGUUUUGGUAACAAAUUUUGGUUUCCUGACUGUGAAUGCAUUGCUUGUGACUCAGCUGCCAUGAGCUGGGAGAGUUUCAAAAGCCCUCUAAGCAGCUACCUGACCAUUUUGGCCAGAGGUGGAUUUUCGUCUCUCCCCAUUUGGGCCCACUUCUGCCAACCCCAACCAUGUUCCUGAUUGCCUAGGAAGAACAGCCUUUGAAAUUUGACGUCUAUGUACAGAAAGGUGAGUGUCUUUUAUGGGUACUAGACAGUGGGAAUGGUUCCUCUCCAUUUGGGAAAUCCCAAAGGCAUAUCAGUUUGCAGGUUAAACAAGCCAAACUGAUGGAGAGAGGAUAAUACCUUGACUGAUUCAGUUUGAACACUCUUGGGGCUUGUUCAUUGCUACAGAAGUUGGAUUGUGUUUUGGUGAUUGUUUGCUUGUGUAUGUCUAUGUAGUUAUGGGAUGUCAGGGUUUGAUCCCAGAGUGCAGCCCACAUGGGUGCAUUCUUUGGGUUAGUCUGUAUGUAGUUGUGGGUUGACAGAGCAGGGGAAAUUCUACAGCCAUACCACUCUGAGUGUGGCUGAUCUUGUCUGAUCGCGAUGUCUUUGCAUUGUAGUGCUGUCUUACAAUUGAAUUCAUUUUGCUGUUGAAUGGGAAAGCAGGAUGGAGGUCCAUGUAUGUAUGCUUUUAUGCUGCUGCUCUGAACAGGGUUGGGCCUGAUUAGUACUGUGAUGCUCUUCUGUGGUGCUGUUUGGCCCCAGUGUUCUUUGGAAUCCGGGGAAUUUUGGCCUUUAAAAGUUAAACUGCCAUGGGAACUGAUUUACCCAGUUUUAGUUCAUAGCCUUCAUUGUAUUAUCUAUCAGGGCAAAAAAGUUAGCCGUGUGAACAUGUUCGUAAACCAGUGAGUUUGUAUUGCUAUCUCAUGCCUAGAAUUCUAAAGUAAAAACUAUUGGGUCUUUGUUUGUAUAUAUGUAUAUGGGUCUAAAUGUUAUGUGUUGUUUUUACAGGGUACAGAUUGGCUCAUAAAUAAAAGAGCACUC
RNAcentral lists this long non-coding RNA (2526 nucleotides) under Homo sapiens (human). RNAcentral's name for it is "non-protein coding LINC00882:69". Lineage: Eukaryota; Metazoa; Chordata; Mammalia; Primates; Hominidae. The record is from RNAcentral.